AGAGAUUGGGCGUCCCUUCGGGGACAGGGUGACAGGUGGUGCGAUGGUUGUCGUCAGCUCGUGUCGUGAGAUGUUGGGUUAAGUCCCGCAACGAGCGCAACCCUCGCCUCUAGUUGCCAGCAUUCGGUUGGGCACUCUAGGGGGACUGCCGGCGACAAGUCGGAGGAAGGUGGGAUGACGUCAAAUCAUCAUGCCCCUUAUGACCUGGGCUACACACGUGCUACAAUGGGCGGUACAAAGGGCUGCGAACCCGCGAGGGGGAGCGAAUCCCAAAAAGCCGCUCUCAGUUCGGAUUGCAGGCUGCAACUCGCCUGCAUGAAGCCGGAAUCGCUAGUAAUCGCGGAUCAGCAUGCCGCGGUGAAUACGUUCCCGGGCCUU
RNAcentral lists this ribosomal RNA (378 nucleotides) under uncultured Geobacillus sp. RNAcentral's name for it is "bacterial SSU rRNA". It matches the Rfam family "Bacterial small subunit ribosomal RNA", at positions 1002 to 1382 of the family's 1533-position model. The record is from RNAcentral. Lineage: Bacteria; Bacillati; Bacillota; Bacilli; Caryophanales; Anoxybacillaceae.